UACGUAGGUGGCAAGCGUUGUCCGGAAUUAUUGGGCGUAAAGCGCGCGCAGGCGGUUUCAUAAGUCUGUCUUAAAAGUGCGGGGCUUAACCCCGUGAGGGGAUGGAAACUAUGGAACUGGAGUAUCGGAGAGGAAAGCGGAAUUCCUAGUGUAGCGGUGAAAUGCGUAGAUAUUAGGAAGAACACCAGUGGCGAAGGCGGCUUUCUGGACGACAACUGACGCUGAGGCGCGAAAGCCAGGGGAGCGAACGGGAUUAGAAACCCGGGUCGGCUGACUGACU
Molecule: ribosomal RNA, 280 nt
Filed under: Veillonella seminalis
Lineage: Bacteria; Bacillati; Bacillota; Negativicutes; Veillonellales; Veillonellaceae
Description: partial 16S ribosomal RNA
Rfam family: Bacterial small subunit ribosomal RNA
Source: RNAcentral